Molecule: ribosomal RNA, 407 nt
Filed under: Dysdera sp. MC
Lineage: Eukaryota; Metazoa; Arthropoda; Arachnida; Araneae; Dysderidae
Also listed under: 1 other name
Description: partial 16S ribosomal RNA
Rfam family: Bacterial large subunit ribosomal RNA
Source: RNAcentral
GCACAUCCUGCUCAGUGAAACUAAACAGCCGCAGAACUUUAUACUGUGCUAAGGUAGCAUAAUCACUUGUCUUUUAAUUGAAGAAUAGAAUGAACGGAAAAACGAAUAUUUAACUGCCUCAUUUUUUUCCAAUAAAAUUUCACAUAAAGUAAAAAUGCUUUUUAUUUCAAAAAGACGACAAGACCCUAAAGAACUAAAACUAAAGUUUAGCUGGGGCGGCACUAUAAAAAAAUCUUAUAACAAUUUUAAUUAAACCCAAUUAUGUUUCAGUUACCUUAGGGAUAACAGCAUAAUUUAAUUCUAAAGCUCUUAUAAAAAAUUAAGAUUAUGACCUCGAUGUUGAAUUAAGCCUCUUUCUGAAGAAAAGUCCAAACUAAGAAAGUCUGUUCGACUUUUAAACACUUACA